RNAcentral lists this ribosomal RNA (621 nucleotides) under uncultured Bacteroidales bacterium. RNAcentral's name for it is "bacterial SSU rRNA". It matches the Rfam family "Bacterial small subunit ribosomal RNA", at positions 113 to 732 of the family's 1533-position model. Lineage: Bacteria; Pseudomonadati; Bacteroidota; Bacteroidia; Bacteroidales. The record is from RNAcentral.
ACACGUAUCCAACCUGCCGUCUACUCUUGGACAGCCUUCUGAAAGGAAGAUUAAUACAAGAUGGCAUCAUGAGUCCGCAUGUUCACAUGAUUAAAGGUAUUCCGGUAGACGAUGGGGAUGCGUUCCAUUAGAUAGUAGGCGGGGUAACGGCCCACCUAGUCUUCGAUGGAUAGGGGUUCUGAGAGGAAGAUCCCCCACAUUGGAACUGAGACACGGUCCAAACUCCUACGGGAGGCAGCAGUGAGGAAUAUUGGUCAAUGGGCGAGAGCCUGAACCAGCCAAGUAGCGUGAAGGAUGACUGCCCUAUGGGUUGUAAACUUCUUUUAUAAAGGAAUAAAGUCGGGUAUGGAUACCCGUUUGCAUGUACUUUAUGAAUAAGGAUCGGCUAACUCCGUGCCAGCAGCCGCGGUAAUACGGAGGAUCCGAGCGUUAUCCGGAUUUAUUGGGUUUAAAGGGAGCGUAGAUGGAUGUUUAAGUCAGUUGUGAAAGUUUGCGGCUCAACCGUAAAAUUGCAGUUGAUACUGGAUAUCUUGAGUGCAGUUGAGGCAGGCGGAAUUCGUGGUGUAGCGGUGAAAUGCUUAGAUAUCACGAAGAACUCCGAUUGCGAAGGCAGCCUGCUAA